CGGGCAGGAAAAUGUGUUUGAAACCGUGCGGUUUCGCCACGGGGAGGACCUCCCGGGCCUAAGGGACGCGUGGGUCGUACGCCCUCCGCCGCUCCCCAGCGACCCGAUUAGUUUCGGGCCUAAGGGAUGCGUGGGGUGUCUGCCCUCUGCCUCUCCCCAGUAACCCGAGUCGUUCCGUCCCUGCGGCGUCCCCCCAGCGCGGCGGCUGCGUGCCCUUCUCUGCUGUCG
Molecule: long non-coding RNA, 228 nt
Organism: Bufo bufo (common toad)
Lineage: Eukaryota; Metazoa; Chordata; Amphibia; Anura; Bufonidae
Exons: 3
Source: RefSeq, a predicted model, not a curated record